UCUUACGUUCUGAUAGUUCUCCGCGACAGUUUAUGCUUACCUCGCGUUAGGAUCCCUCAGCGAAUUGGGGCUCUGGUAGUCCGAAGUAAUCCGAUGACCGUUCUGCUCGGCGGAUCUAGCGGCAACGUGCUGCUCGGACGGUAUUCUCUGUAGCUCGUUUCUGGUUGCUUCGAUGGACGGUACUCUGGCGAGGGCGGCGUGAUGGGUGUCCGCCGUCC
RNAcentral lists this unclassified non-coding RNA (218 nucleotides) under Bombus terrestris (buff-tailed bumblebee). RNAcentral describes it as "misc RNA ENSBTSG00005036486.1". Lineage: Eukaryota; Metazoa; Arthropoda; Insecta; Hymenoptera; Apidae. The record is from RNAcentral.